AGAGUUUGAUCCUGGCUCAGGAUGAACGCUAGCUACAGGCUUAACACAUGCAAGUCGAGGGGCAGCAUCAUCAAAGCUUGCUUUGAUGGAUGGCGACCGGCGCACGGGUGAGUAACACGUAUCCAACCUGCCGACAACACUGGGAUAGCCUUUCGAAAGAAAGAUUAAUACCGGAUGGCAUAGUUUUCCCGCAUGGGAUAAUUAUUAAAGAAUUUCGGUUGUCGAUGGGGAUGCGUUCCAUUAGGCAGUUGGCGGGGUAACGGCCCACCAAACCAACGAUGGAUAGGGGUUCUGAGAGGAAGGUCCCCCACAUUGGAACUGAGACACGGUCCAAACUCCUACGGGAGGCAGCAGUGAGGAAUAUUGGUCAAUGGACGAGAGUCUGAACCAGCCAAGUAGCGUGAAGGAUGACUGCCCUAUGGGUUGUAAACUUCUUUUAUACGGGAAUAAAGUUAGCCACGUGUGGCUUUUUGUAUGUACCGUAUGAAUAAGGAUCGGCUAACUCCGUGCCAGCAGCCGCGGUAAUACGGAGGAUCCGAGCGUUAUCCGGAUUUAUUGGGUUUAAAGGGAGCGUAGGCGGGUUGUUAAGUCAGUUGUGAAAGUUUGCGGCUCAACCGUAAAAUUGCAGUUGAUACUGGCGACCUUGAGUGCAACAGAGGUAGGCGGAAUUCGUGGUGUAGCGGUGAAAUGCUUAGAUAUCACGAAGAACUCCGAUUGCGAAGGCAGCUUACUGGAUUGUAACUGACGCUGAUGCUCGAAAGUGUGGGUAUCAAACAGGAUUAGAUACCCUGGUAGUCCACACAGUAAACGAUGAAUACUCGCUGUUGGCGAUAUACUGUCAGCGGCCAAGCGAAAGCAUUAAGUAUUCCACCUGGGGAGUACGCCGGCAACGGUGAAACUCAAAGGAAUUGACGGGGGCCCGCACAAGCGGAGGAACAUGUGGUUUAAUUCGAUGAUACGCGAGGAACCUUACCCGGGCUUAAAUUGCAACUGACGGAACUGGAAACGGUUCUUUCUUCGGACAGUUGUGAAGGUGCUGCAUGGUUGUCGUCAGCUCGUGCCGUGAGGUGUCGGCUUAAGUGCCAUAACGAGCGCAACCCUUAUCGAUAGUUACUAGCAGGUCAUGCUGAGGACUCUAUUGAGACUGCCGUCGUAAGAUGUGAGGAAGGUGGGGAUGACGUCAAAUCAGCACGGCCCUUACGUCCGGGGCUACACACGUGUUACAAUGGGGGGUACAGAAGGCAGCUACACGGCGACGUGGUGCUAAUCCCGAAAGCCUCUCUCAGUUCGGAUUGGAGUCUGCAACCCGACUCCAUGAAGCUGGAUUCGCUAGUAAUCGCGCAUCAGCCACGGCGCGGUGAAUACGUUCCCGGGCCUUGUACACACCGCCCGUCAAGCCAUGAAAGCCGGGGGUACCUGAAGUACGUAACCGCGAGGAGCGUCCUAGGGUAAAACUGGUGAUUGGGGCUAAGUCGUAACAAGGUAGCCGUACCGGAAGGUGCGGCUG
This 1507-nucleotide ribosomal RNA is filed under the name gut metagenome. Its description in RNAcentral is "bacterial SSU rRNA". It matches the Rfam family "Bacterial small subunit ribosomal RNA". The record is from RNAcentral.